AGUUCCUUGAUGACAGAGAUACAAUCCCCCACUGACCAUGCAACUUUCAUAAUAGUCUGAUAUUCAGAGAAGUCUGAUAAUCUUUUUAUCAAAAAGAUCAGUGUGAUGUCAUUUUAUUUGAUAUGUAAAUGCAGAACCAUUUGUAAAUAAUAACUGAUGUCUUUUGGAUGAAUACAAGAAUAGAAGUAUAUUAUUAUCAA
Long non-coding RNA from Brassica napus (rape), 200 nucleotides. RefSeq lists it as uncharacterized. NCBI's taxonomy places the organism in Eukaryota, Viridiplantae, Streptophyta, Magnoliopsida, Brassicales, Brassicaceae. The record is from RefSeq and is a predicted model, not a curated record. The transcript has 2 exons.